Molecule: long non-coding RNA, 247 nt
Filed under: Pongo abelii (Sumatran orangutan)
Lineage: Eukaryota; Metazoa; Chordata; Mammalia; Primates; Hominidae
Description: lncRNA (ENSPPYG00000037309.1)
Source: RNAcentral
GCCAAAGUAAUCAUUACAUUCUGGAACUUAGGAGUCGUACUUGGUCUCCGAUGAGGAAGGCAUUAACUGUGAUUUCUGUCACAUGCUGAUUCAAAACUGUGGACUAUCUUGCAAAAAAUACAAGAAGACAUUGAAAGUUUUCAUGAGUGCCUACCACCUAAUCUCAAACACUAUCAUUCAUAUGUGCCUCAUUGAGCAAAUCUUUAUUGAGGAUCUAUAUGCCAGACAAUGUAGGCAUUGUUCCUAA